Molecule: ribosomal RNA, 1177 nt
Filed under: Sulfurimonas sp.
Lineage: Bacteria; Pseudomonadati; Campylobacterota; Epsilonproteobacteria; Campylobacterales; Sulfurimonadaceae
Description: bacterial SSU rRNA
Rfam family: Bacterial small subunit ribosomal RNA
Source: RNAcentral
CACUGGUACUGAGACACGGACCAGACUCCUACGGGAGGCAGCAGUGAGGAAUAUUGCACAAUGGGGGAAACCCUGAUGCAGCAACGCCGCGUGGAGGGUGACGCAUUUCGGUGUGUAAACUCCUUUUAUGAGUCAAGAAAAUGACGGUAGCUCAUGAGGAAGCACCGGCUAACUCCGUGCCAGCAGCCGCGGUAAUACGGAGGGUGCAAGCGUUACUCGGGAAUCACUGGGCGUAAAGGACGCGUAGGCGGGUUGGUAAGUCAGAUGUGAAAUCCUUACAGCUCAACUGUAGAACUGCAUUUGAAACUACUAACCUAGAGUAUGGGAGGGGGAGAUGGAAUUAGUGGUGUAGGGGUAAAAUCCGUAGAUAUCACUAGGAAUACCUAAAGCGAAGGCGAUCUCCUGGAACAUUACUGACGCUAAGGCGUGAAAGCGUGUGGAGCAAACGGGAUUAGAUACCCCGGUAGUCCACGCCCUAAACGAUGAACACUAGUCGUCGGGAUGCUUGUCAUCUCGGUGAUGCACUUAACAGAUUAAGUGUUCCGCCUGGGGAGUACGGUCGCAAGAUUAAAACUCAAAGGAAUAGACGGGGACCCGCACAAGUGGUGGAGCAUGUGGUUUAAUUCGAAGAUACGCGAAGAACCUUACCUAGCCUUGACAUUGAUAGAACACACCAGAGAUGGAGUGGUGCCCUUCGGGGAACUUGAAAACAGGUGCUGCACGGCUGUCGUCAGCUCGUGUCGUGAGAUGUUGGGUUAAGUCCCGCAACGAGCGCAACCCUCGUCCUUAGUUGCCAGCAGGUUAAGCUGGGCACUCUAGGGAGACUGCCUUCGCAAGGAGGAGGAAGGUGAGGACGACGUCAAGUCAUCAUGGCCCUUAUGGCUAGGGCUACACACGUGCUACAAUGGGGCGUACAGAGAGUUGCAAUACCGCGAGGUGGAGCCAAUCUCACAAAGCGUCUCUCAGUUCGGAUUGAAGUCUGCAACUCGACUUCAUGAAGCUGGAAUCACUAGUAAUCGUAGAUCAGCAAUGCUACGGUGAAUACGUUCCCGGGUCUUGUACUCACCGCCCGUCACACCAUGGGAGUUGAUUUCACCCGAAAUUGGGAAGCUAACCUUCGGGAGGCUACCACUUACGGUGGAAUUAGCGACUGGGGUGAAGUCGUAACAAGGUAACC